UUACGGCCAUAUCACAUUGAAACAUCGGUUCCCGUACGAUCAUCGAAGUUAAGCAACGUCGAGCUUGGUCAGUACCCAUGAGUGACCACUUGAGAAUACCAAGUGCUGUAAG
Acanthosepion pharaonis is the source of this 112-nucleotide non-coding RNA. The record is from the annotation of a GenBank genome assembly. Lineage: Eukaryota; Metazoa; Mollusca; Cephalopoda; Sepiida; Sepiidae.